Vigna unguiculata (cowpea) is the source of this 1156-nucleotide long non-coding RNA. The record is from RefSeq and is a predicted model, not a curated record. Lineage: Eukaryota; Viridiplantae; Streptophyta; Magnoliopsida; Fabales; Fabaceae.
AACAAAGUGAAUGUUACAAACUUUUUGACAAAGUGACGUGGCAUGUAUUAAAAUGAUUUUUUUGAGUUAAAAAAUGGAAACUGCACGUGUGAGAGAGAAUUGAAGAAUAGGGACGUGGGUUCAAAAAAUAGAUUGUCUUUCACAUAACUGUUCUCGCGCGUUGGAGUUCAUUUUUGGCCCCUCUUAAACCUUUUCUUCCCCUUCUCCACGGUGAUACAGAACCAUUCUCCUGCACAUUUCCAUUGCUUAAAAUUUCCGCUGCAUUCACCCAAACCCAUUAUCGUUGCACAUCGAAUCCCACCUACACGAAAGCAGUUCGUCCCGACGGUGGUAGACGAAAUCACAGUGGAACGUUCCCGACGGUGGUUGACGGAGAGCAUUGAAGUUGCAGCUUCGUGCCAUUGCUGGAGGUGAGAUGAAAAUUGAAGUGUGGUGUUUACGGAGCUGACUUAUUUGCAGGUUUUAGGGCGUUGGUGAGUGUUUGUUGAUAACUCUACUAAGUAUGGAUAUGCAACAAGGUAAUGACUCCAUUGAAAAUAAGAUACAUUUGAGGCAUUCUUGUGGAACAAAAUAUCUUGCAUCUAUUAACAACCAGUUAACAGCAGAGCAAAAAUUAUUUAUUGAAGGGACAUGUUUCGGAUGGUUAACAAUGUUGAAGGAGCCUACGAAAUUGUCUAGAAACCUUCUUAGUAAAUUAUGUUCUAGAUGGGAUGACAAGAGUGGAUGUUUUCAAAUUAGAUCCCAAUCAGUUCGAUUUACUUUAUUGGAUGUUUGUGUAGGUCUUGGUCUUAGGGUGGUUGGUCCAAAAUUCAAUUUAAACGAAAUCGAAGUGGAGAGUAAUUGUAGGAAAAUGUUUCAAAGUAAGAACGUCGACUUAAGCAUGUUGUAUGACUUCCUAAUGCGAAAUAGGAAAGAAAUUUCUAUACCUGACUUUUGUAGAGUUUAUAUAUUGUUGGGCAUUUGUGAAUUUUUGUUGCCAAAUCGUAUUGGUAGGGUUUUCCCAAUUCUGUUUAAGCGGGUAGAUGAUAUUGAAGGUCUUGGAAAUUUGAAUUGGGGUGUUGUUGUGUAUGAAUACUUGGUUGGGAGCAUAUGUCGUGCUUCUUUCUUGUUUAAGAGAGGUGGAACUAAAAGACACUUCCAUGUAGAUAGAUGUGUU